Molecule: ribosomal RNA, 497 nt
Filed under: uncultured bacterium
Lineage: Bacteria
Description: partial 16S ribosomal RNA
Rfam family: Bacterial small subunit ribosomal RNA
Source: RNAcentral
GAUGAACGCUGGCGGCGUGCCUAAUACAUGCAAGUCGAGCGAACAGACGAGGAGCUUGCUCCUCUGACGUUAGCGUCGUACGGGUGAGUAACACGUGGAUAACCUACCUAUAAGACUGGGAUAACUUCGGGAAACCGGAGCUAAUACCGGAUAAUAUAUUGAACCGCAUGGUUCAAUAGUGAAAGACGGUUUUGCUGUCACUUAUAGAUGUAUCCGCGCCGCAUUAGCUAGUUGGUAAGGUAACGGCUUACCAAGGCAACGAUGCGUAGCCGACCUGAGAGGGUGAUCGGCCACACUGGAAGUGAGACACGGUCCAGACUCCUAAGGGAGACAGCAGUAGGGAAUCUUCCGCAAUGGGCGAAAGCCUAACGGAGCAACGCCGCGUGAGUGAUGAGGGUCUUCGGAUCGUAAAACUCUGUUAUUGGGGAAGAACAAAUGUGUAAGUAACUAUGCACGUCUUGACGGUACCUAAUCAGAAAGCCACGGCUAACUACGUG